RNAcentral lists this ribosomal RNA (402 nucleotides) under uncultured bacterium. RNAcentral's name for it is "bacterial SSU rRNA". It matches the Rfam family "Bacterial small subunit ribosomal RNA", at positions 355 to 774 of the family's 1533-position model. The record is from RNAcentral.
UGGGGAAUAUUGGACAAUGGGGGAAACCCUGAUCCAGCAAUGCCGCGUGAGUGAAGAAGGCCUUAGGGUUGUAAAGCUCUUUCGCCCGCGAAGAUAAUGACGGUAGCGGGAGAAGAAGCCCCGGCUAACUCCGUGCCAGCAGCCGCGGUAAUACGGAGGGGGCUAGCGUUGUUCGGAAUUACUGGGCGUAAAGCGUACGUAGGCGGAUGCGCAAGUUGGGGGUGAAAUCCCGGGGCUUAACCUCGGAAUUGCCCUCAAAACUGCACGUCUUGAGACCGAGAGAGGUAUGGGGAAUUCCUAGUGUAGAGGUGAAAUUCGUAGAUAUUAGGAAGAACACCAGUGGCGAAGGCGCCUUACUGGCUCGGUACUGACGCUGAGGUACGAAAGCGUGGGGAGCAAACA